GAGUUUGAUCCUGGCUCAGGAUGAACGCUGGCGGCGUGCUUAACACAUGCAAGUCGAACGGGGAUUACACGGAGAUGCGAUUUCGGUCAAAUCAAGUGCAAUCUUAGUGGCGGACGGGUGAGUAACGCGUGGGUAACCUGCCUUGCACUGGGGGAUAACACUUAGAAAUAGGUGCUAAUACCGCAUAAGCGCACGGUCCUGCAUGGGACAGUGUGAAAAACUCCGGUGGUGCAAGAUGGACCCGCGUCUGAUUAGCUGGUUGGCGGGGUAAAGGCCCACCAAGGCGACGAUCAGUAGCCGGCCUGAGAGGGUGGACGGCCACAUUGGGACUGAGACACGGCCCAAACUCCUACGGGAGGCAGCAGUGGGGGAUAUUGGACAAUGGGGGGAACCCUGAUCCAGCGACGCCGCGUGAGUGAAGAAGUAUUUCGGUAUGUAAAGCUCUGUCAGCAGGGAAGAAAGCAAUGACGGUACCUGACCAAGAAGCCCCGGCUAACUACGUGCCAGCAGCCGCGGUAAUACGUAGGGGGCAAGCGUUAUCCGGAAUUACUGGGUGUAAAGGGAGCGUAGACGGCUGUGCAAGUCUGGAGUGAAAGGCGGGGGCCCAACCCCCGGACUGCUCUGGAAACUGUAUGGCUGGAGUGCAGGAGAGGUAAGCGGAAUUCCUAGUGUAGCGGUGAAAUGCGUAGAUAUUAGGAGGAACACCAGUGGCGAAGGCGGCUUACUGGACUGUAACUGACGUUGAGGCUCGAAAGCGUGGGGAGCAAACAGGAUUAAAUACCCGGGUAGUCCACGCC
This 797-nucleotide ribosomal RNA is filed under the name uncultured bacterium. RNAcentral's name for it is "bacterial SSU rRNA". It matches the Rfam family "Bacterial small subunit ribosomal RNA", at positions 9 to 801 of the family's 1533-position model. The record is from RNAcentral.